GACGUAGGGUCCAAGCGUUGUCCGGAUUUACUGGGCUUAAAGAGUUCGUAGGCGGCAUUGCAAGUAGGGUGUGAAAGCCCUCGGCUCAACCGAGGAAUUGCGCUCUAAACUGCAGUGCUAGAGGAACCUAGAGGUGAGCAGAACAGAUGGUGGAGCGGUGAAAUGCGUUGAUAUCAUCUGGAAUACCGGAGGCGAAGGCGGCUCACUGGGAGUUUUCUGACGCUGAGGAACGAAAGCCAGGGUAGCGAACGGG
This 253-nucleotide ribosomal RNA is filed under the name uncultured bacterium. Its description in RNAcentral is "partial 16S ribosomal RNA". It matches the Rfam family "Bacterial small subunit ribosomal RNA", at positions 524 to 776 of the family's 1533-position model. The record is from RNAcentral.